GACGAACGCUGGCGGCGUGCCUAAUACAUGCAAGUAGAACGCACAGUUUAUACCGUUGCUUGCUACACCAUAGACUGUGAGUUGCGAACGGGUUAGUAACCCGUCGCUAACCUGCCUGGUAGCUUGGGGUAACUAUUGCAAACGAUAGCUAAUACCGCCUACUAUUUAUUAUUGCAUGAUAAUUUAUUGAAAGUUGCAAUUGCCCCACUACCUGUUGGACCUUCGUUGUAUUAGCUAGUAGGUGAGGUAACGGCUCACCUAGGCGACGAUACAUAGCCGAACUGAGAGGGUGAGCGGCCAGACUGGGAGUGAGACAGGGCACAGACUCACACGGGAGGGAGCAGUAGGGAAUCGUCGGGAAUGGACGAAAGUCUGAGCGAGCAAGGCGGCGGGAGGGAAGAAGGUUUUCGGAUGGUAAAGGUCUGUUGUAAGAGAAGAACGGGUGUGAGAGUGGAAAGUACACAGUGUGACGGUAUCUGACAAGAAAGGGACGGCUAACUACGUG
This 505-nucleotide ribosomal RNA is filed under the name uncultured bacterium. RNAcentral describes it as "partial 16S ribosomal RNA". It matches the Rfam family "Bacterial small subunit ribosomal RNA", at positions 28 to 507 of the family's 1533-position model. The record is from RNAcentral.